UAGGAAUCUCCACAAUGGACGCAAGUCUGAUGGAGCAACGCCGCGUGAGUGAAGAAGGUUUUCGGACCGUAAAGCUCUGUUGUUGGUGAAGAAGGAUAGAGGUAGUAACUGGCCUUUAUUUGACGGUAAUCAACCAGAAAGUCACGGCUAACUACGUGCCAGCAGCCGCGGUAAUCGUAGGUGGCAAGCGUUGUCCGGAUUUAUUGGGCGUAAAGCGAGCGCAGGCGGAAGAAUAAGUCUGAUGUGAAAGCCCUCGGCUUAACCGAGGAAUUGCAUCGGAAACUGUUUUCUUGAGUGCAGAAGAGGAGAGUAGAACUCCAUGUGUAGCGGUGGAAUGCGUAGAUAUAUGGAAGAAUACCAGUGGCGAAGGCGGCUCUCUGGUCUGCAACUGACGCUGAGGCUCGAAAGCAUGGGUAGCGAACAGGAUUAGAUACCCUGGUAGUCCAUGCCGUAAACGAUGAGUGCUAAGUGUUGGGAGGCUUCCGCCUCUCAGUGCUGCAGCUAACGCAUUAAGCACUCCGCCUGGGGGAGUACGACCGCAAGGUUGAAAC
Molecule: ribosomal RNA, 551 nt
Filed under: uncultured bacterium
Lineage: Bacteria
Description: partial 16S ribosomal RNA
Rfam family: Bacterial small subunit ribosomal RNA
Source: RNAcentral